This 73-nucleotide transfer RNA is filed under the name Paramuricea clavata. It matches the Rfam family "tRNA". From Rfam's summary of the family: Transfer RNA (tRNA) molecules are approximately 80 nucleotides in length. Lineage: Eukaryota; Metazoa; Cnidaria; Anthozoa; Malacalcyonacea; Plexauridae. The record is from Rfam by way of RNAcentral.
CACCUCGUAGCUCAGUUGGUAGAGCAUUGGAUUAGUAAACCAAAGGUCGCGGGUUCAAUUCCCACCGCGGUCA